GGUCUAAUAGUGUAGAGGUUAUCACACGGGAUUUUGACGAGUGAUUUACUUCCCGUAACCCAGGUUCGAGUCCUGGUUAGACCU
Lentinula edodes (shiitake mushroom) is the source of this 84-nucleotide non-coding RNA. The record is from Rfam. NCBI's taxonomy places the organism in Eukaryota, Fungi, Basidiomycota, Agaricomycetes, Agaricales, Omphalotaceae.